UGAAGCUGUCCUUGGAAAUCAGCCAUACCAAUGUUGCUGUACACAUAUAUCAAGAUGUAGUACAGUUUGUAAGGAAAACCUGGAUACAGAUCUACUCAAGUCUGGAACCACAUCUGAUUUAUGGAGCACAGUAUUGCGUCUCAUACCACCUACUACAGCAACAAGCCUUGUACAUCAUUACUAGUGAAAUACAAUUCCUUUCAACUAAAAAGUGUCUUCAGGGUAGCACAUGUUGACCAUUCUUAUUGUUUAUUCAAUUUGUCCCUUCUUAUAUUCUCACCUCUACUACCUGCAUUUUCUUUCUAUCCCAGAUCUGAAUCUCUUUUUCUGUAUGUCAGCAAAAGCAAUGGUGCCUGUCUCACUCCAGCCUAAUUAUGGCCUUGAUUGUCAGUUAUAAUCUCAACUCCAAUCAAAUUGUAUUCUCCAAGAGAAAACAAGCCCUGAUUUUCUAUAAUGCAGCUAUUGAUACGUGCAGGCUACCUCAUCCUGUGGACUUGUGAAGUCCUGUCAUGCCAGUAACUUCCUGCAUUUAAGGGGUACUCUGAAAGUAAUCAGCAGCAGAUGUUGGUAGUAUGGCAGUAGAGACUGAACCUUCUUGUAAAUAUUCCAUUUCAUUUUGUUUCUAUGUGACAGAUGGCAGCAGAGGGGCAGUCCAAUAAAAUGAUGUCUGACAGGGAACUGUAUGAAGCAAAGGUGUGGAACUGAAUUCCUCCAUUUGGAAAAAAUGACACCCACUGGCAUUCAUCAGUGCUUACUGAACAUUUAUGGAGACCAAACAGUAAAUAUGAUCACAGUGAGGCAACGGGUGGUGAUCUUCAGCAGCUGCAAGAAUGACAUUGGAUCACCUCUGUUGGUGCAGAUUUUUCUGAGCGUGGCACACAGGCUCUUGUUCAAUGAUGGCAGAAGUAGUGCUUUGUAGCUGAGUAUUUGCUCUAUUGAAUAGUUAUAUUGUGCUUUAUAUAUGUUGUAGUUUCCAGUUUCCAUGGAAAUAAAUAGAAGGCAUGACUUUUGGAGCUACCUA
Gallus gallus (chicken) is the source of this 1021-nucleotide long non-coding RNA. NCBI's taxonomy places the organism in Eukaryota, Metazoa, Chordata, Aves, Galliformes, Phasianidae. The record is from Ensembl.